RNAcentral lists this ribosomal RNA (1395 nucleotides) under uncultured bacterium. RNAcentral describes it as "bacterial SSU rRNA". It matches the Rfam family "Bacterial small subunit ribosomal RNA". The record is from RNAcentral.
AGAGUUUGAUCCUGGCUCAGGAUGAACGCUCGUGGCAGGCUUAACACAUGCAAGUCGAGGGGCAGCGCGGGGCGGCAACGUCCUGGCGGCGACCGGCGGAAGGGUGCGUAACGCGUGAGCGACAUGCCCGUUGCCCGGGGACAACCGGUGGAAACGCCGACUAAUCCCCGAUGGGAUACGAUGCUUCAUGGCAUUGUAUUGAAAGUUACGGCGGCGACGGAUUGGCUCGCGUCCGAUUAGCUUGUUGGCGGGGUAACGGCCCACCAAGGCUACGAUCGGUAGGGGUUCUGAGAGGAAGGCCCCCCACAUUGGAACUGAGACACGGUCCAAACUCCUACGGGAGGCAGCAGUGAGGAAUAUUGGUCAAUGGACGAGAGUCUGAACCAGCCAAGUAGCGUGCAGGAUGACGGCCCUAUGGGUUGUAAACUGCUUUUAUAAGGGAAUAAAGUGAGUCUCGUGAGACUUUUUGCAUGUACCUUAUGAAUAAGGACCGGCUAAUUCCGUGCCAGCAGCCGCGGUAAUACGGAAGGUCCGGGCGUUAUCCGGAUUUAUUGGGUUUAAAGGGAGCGUAGGCCGGAGAUUAAGCGUGUUGUGAAAUGUAGAUGCUCAACAUCUGAACUGCAGCGCGAACUGGUUUCCUUGAGUACGCACAAAGUGGGCGGAAUUCGUGGUGUAGCGGUGAAAUGCUUAGAUAUCACGAAGAACUCCGAUUGCGAAGGCAGCUCACUGGAGCGCAACUGACGCUGAAGCUCGAAAGUGCGGGUAUCGAACAGGAUUAGAUACCCUGGUAGUCCGCACGGUAAACGAUGGAUGCCCGCUGUUGGUCUGAAUAGGUCAGCGGCCAAGCGAAAGCAUUAAGCAUCCCACCUGGGGAGUACGCCGGCAACGGUGAAACUCAAAGGAAUUGACGGGGGCCCGCACAAGCGGAGGAACAUGUGGUUUAAUUCGAUGAUACGCGAGGAACCUUACCCGGGCUUGAAUUGCAGAGGAAGGAUUUGGAGACAAUGACGCCCUUCGGGGCCUCUGUGAAGGUGCUGCAUGGUUGUCGUCAGCUCGUGCCGUGAGGUGUCGGCUUAAGUGCCAUAACGAGCGCAACCCCUCUCCUUAGUUGCCAUCAGGUCAUGCUGGGCACUCUGGGGACACUGCCACCGUAAGGUGUGAGGAAGGUGGGGAUGACGUCAAAUCAGCACGGCCCUUACGUCCGGGGCUACACACGUGUUACAAUGGCAGGUACAGAGAGACGGUCCCUUGCAAAAUGGAUCAAAUCCUUAAAGCCUGUCUCAGUUCGGACUGGGGUCUGCAACCCGACCCCACGAAGCUGGAUUCGCUAGUAAUCGCGCAUCAGCCAUGGCGCGGUGAAUACGUUCCCGGGCCUUGCACUCACCGCCCGUCAAG